GGAAACACUUAGGUUGUAGGGGAACGCUUGAAGAGUGGGCUGCGUCUUCCUCCAAUCAGGGCGUACAUGGAUGACAUGACCAAAUAACAACAACAAAAGCAUGCACCAAACGCCUGCUGGAUAAACUCCAGGAAAACAUCAAAUGGGCACGAAUG
This is a long non-coding RNA of Amblyraja radiata (thorny skate), 155 nucleotides long. RefSeq lists it as uncharacterized. NCBI's taxonomy places the organism in Eukaryota, Metazoa, Chordata, Chondrichthyes, Rajiformes, Rajidae. The transcript is spliced from 3 exons. The record is from RefSeq and is a predicted model, not a curated record.